AACGCACCUUGCGCCCUUUGGCAUUCCGAAGGGCACGCCUGUUUGAGUGUCGUGAAAACAUCAAGCCCCCCCCCAUCUUCUUUUCGGUCGAAGGGGUGGGCCUUGGACUUGGAGGAUCUUUGUGGGGUCCCUUCAGCUCUUUGCUGGGGAACCGCUCCUCUGUAAUGCAGCAGCGAGGCUCCUACGGUGGGCCGCCCUCUGGUGUUGUAGUUUUAUGACCUACGCCGUGGGUUUUGCCCCGCCGUCUUUGGGUUCCCCCAUCCUCUUUAUUGGUUGGGACCGGGAGGCUUGGCUUCCAACCGUCGCAUCUGUGACAAACCGCCUUUGACAUUUUUGACCUCAAAUCAGGUGGGACUACCCGCUGAACUUAA
This 371-nucleotide unclassified non-coding RNA is filed under the name uncultured fungus. Its description in RNAcentral is "sequence contains ITS2". Lineage: Eukaryota; Fungi. The record is from RNAcentral.